RNAcentral lists this ribosomal RNA (478 nucleotides) under uncultured bacterium. RNAcentral describes it as "partial 16S ribosomal RNA". It matches the Rfam family "Bacterial small subunit ribosomal RNA", at positions 28 to 523 of the family's 1533-position model. The record is from RNAcentral.
GACGAACGCUGGCGGCGUGCUUAACACAUGCAAGUCGAACGGUAAGGCCCUUCGGGGUACACGAGUGGCGAACGGGUGAGUAACACGUGGGUGAUCUGCCCUGCACUUCGGGAUAAGCCUGGGAAACUGGGUCUAAUACCGGAUAGGACUCCUGGCUUCAUGGUUGGGGGUGGAAAGCUUUUGCGGUGUGGGAUGGGCCCGGGGCCUAUCAGCGUGUUGGUGGGUGAGUGGCCUACCAAGGCGACGAAGGGUAGCCGGCCUGAGAGGGGGACCGGUCACACUGGGACUGAGAUACAGCCCAGACGCCUAGGGGAGGCAGCAGUGGGGAAUAUUGCACAAUGGGCGCAAGCCUGAUGCAGCGACGCCGCGUGAGGGAUGACGGCCUUCGGGUUGUAAACCUCUUUCAGCUAUGACGAAGCGCAAGUGACGGUAGUAGCAGAAGAAGGACCGGCCAACUACGUGCCAGCCGCCGCAGUAA